This 492-nucleotide ribosomal RNA is filed under the name uncultured bacterium. Its description in RNAcentral is "partial 16S ribosomal RNA". It matches the Rfam family "Bacterial small subunit ribosomal RNA", at positions 29 to 507 of the family's 1533-position model. The record is from RNAcentral.
AGUGAACGCUGGCGGUAGGCCUAACACAUGCAAGUCGAACGGCAGCACAGUAAGAGCUUGCUCUUACGGGUGGCGAGUGGCGGACGGGUGAGGAAUACAUCGGAAUCUACUUUUUCGUGGGGGAUAACGUAGGGAAACUUACGCUAAUACCGCAUACGACCUACGGGUGAAAGCAGGGGAUCUUCGGACCUUGCGCGAUUGAAUGAGCCGAUGUCGGAUUAGCUAGUUGGGGGGGUAAAGGCCCACCAAGGCGACGAUCCGUAGCUGGUCUGAGAGGCUGAUCAGCCACACUGGAGCUGAGACACGGUCCAGACUCCUACGAGAGGCAGCAGUGGGGAAUAUUGGACAAUGGGCGCAAGCCUGAUCCAGCCAUACCGCGUGGGUGAAGAAGGCCUUCGGGUUGUAAAGCCCUUUUGUUGGGAAAGAAAAGCAGCAGGUUAAUACCCCGCUGUUCUGACGGUACCCAAAGAAUAAGCACCGGCUAACUUCGUG